UCCGGCUCAACGCCGGCAGUCUCUCUAGAGUCCCCACCAUCAUGUGCUGGCAACUAGAGACGGGGGUUGCGCUCGUUGCGGGACUUAACCCAACAUCUCACGACACGAGCUGACGACAGCCAUGCACCACCUGUGCACUGGCCCCGAAGGGCUGCAGUAUUUCUACGACAUUCCAGUGCAUGUCAAGCCCUGGUAAGGUUCUUCGCGUUGCGUCGAAUUAAAGAACAUGCUCCGCUGCUUGUGCGGGCCCCCGUCAAUUCUUUUGAGUUUUAGCCUUGCGGCCGUACUCCCCAGGCGGAGUGCUUAAUGCGUUAGCUGCGGCACAGGGCGGGUUGAAGACCGCCCCACACCUAGCACUCAACGUUUACGGCUGGGACUAC
This 380-nucleotide unclassified non-coding RNA is filed under the name uncultured Actinomycetes bacterium. RNAcentral describes it as "uncultured actinobacterium contains 16S-23S intergenic spacer region". Lineage: Bacteria; Bacillati; Actinomycetota; Actinomycetes. The record is from RNAcentral.